GACGAACGCUGGCGGCGUGCUUAACACAUGCAAGUCGAACGGAAAGGCCCUGCUUGCAGGGUGCUCGAGUGGCGAACGGGUGAGUAACACGUGGGUGAUCUGCCCCUUACUUUGGGAUAAGCCUGGGAAACUGGGUCUAAUACUGGAUAGGACCAUGCUGUAGGUGGUGUGGUGGAAAGAUUAGUUUCGGUAAGGGAUGAGCUCGCGGCCUAUCAGCUUGUUGGUGGGGUAAUGGCCUACCAAGGCGUCGACGGGUAGCCGGCCUGAGAGGGUGGACGGCCACAUUGGGACUGCGGUACGGCCCACACUCCUACGGGAGGCAGCAGUGGGGAAUAUUGCACAAUGGGCGCAAGCCUGAUGCAGCAACGCCGCGUGGGGGAUGACGGCCUUCGGGUUGUAAACUCCUUUCAGCCAUGACGAAGCCCUUGUGGUGACGGUAGUGGUAGAAGAAGCACCGGCUAACUACGUG
RNAcentral lists this ribosomal RNA (469 nucleotides) under uncultured bacterium. RNAcentral describes it as "partial 16S ribosomal RNA". It matches the Rfam family "Bacterial small subunit ribosomal RNA", at positions 28 to 507 of the family's 1533-position model. The record is from RNAcentral.